Long non-coding RNA from Vicia villosa (hairy vetch), 1793 nucleotides. RefSeq lists it as uncharacterized. The transcript is spliced from 3 exons. The record is from RefSeq and is a predicted model, not a curated record. Lineage: Eukaryota; Viridiplantae; Streptophyta; Magnoliopsida; Fabales; Fabaceae.
AAGGGAAGUAUAGAUGAGAUAGUUAAUAGGACUUGACAGAUUAAUGGACUCAACUAGGGUUUCAUCAGUUCUCAUCAUUCCUCCAAAUUUGUUUCUCUUCAGUAUCUUUCCGCUAGGGUUUUAUCUUCUUCUUCAACCGCCGUCGAUGCUUCGUUAUCCACGAGCACCACCACGCCACCAAGCCACGAACCACCACCGAUGAGGUGGAUUAUGAUACAUAAGGAGAAGUAGCUUAUAUGAGAAGUAGCUUAUUUGGAUUGGAAUAUAACUAUAGCAUUUUUUUGCUACAUGGCAUGUGGUUGGAAGAUCUCCACCAGAGUAAUUUGAGUAUCAAUGAUUUGUUUCAUGACUGGCGGCAUGCAUUUGAUCAAAUCAAACAGGUGUUCAUUGAUGAGUUUAUUUGUAAAAUAUUUGAAAAUUUAAAUUUGGAUAACUAUAAUAUAUUGAUAGACUGUGUUGUGAUCUAUAUGAUGCUGCAGAUACAAUUAUAUACUAUUGGGUUGUUUGUUAUAUUUGAAUGCCCAACUUUUUUAUUUAGCAUUGCUUUAUUUUUAAAUAUUAAAAUGUAGCUGAAUUUUUUUAUGAUAAUUAAGAUCAAUUAACCGACAAACCGAUCCAUUUUAACCGAUAAACCGAUUAAACCGAAUCCGAUCAAACCGAUAUAAAAUUCAGUCGGAAUUGGGCCUAGGAAAUGAAUCCAUGGUUUCAAAUGGUUUGGCAUAUUGGGCCCGAAUCCAAUCCAAACCGACCGAUGUCCAGCCCUAGUCAUAUGUCGUUAUUUGUUGAAUUGUGAGAAUGGUACAUUCUUAAGCUAUUAAUGGAAAAUUAUUUUAGAGAACGGAUUUAUUUUAGAUAGUUUUUCAAUGCACCUCAAACACAUCUUAUACACCCUGCAAAUUUUUAUUUUGCCCCUGCUUUCGUAGAUGCAUAUCUGGAAGCACCUCAUACUUUGAAAAAAUUUAAUUCCUUUCGUAGAUUCAUCUACGAAAUCGUAUAAAAUAAAAGAAAACACAGUUAAUUUCACCUUAUUUUCAAUUUAGCAAUUCUUCCGUAGAUGCAUCUACGGAAUGUGGUGAAAAUAGAGUGUUACGUAGGUGCAUCUACGGAACAAUCUGCUAUUUUUUGAAUUCAUGUCAUUUUCAUUAGAAACUCGAUUUUUAAAGACAUAGAUAUUCAAAUUCAGUAAUGCAUUUUAAAGACAACAGUAGGUAGACCAAUAAAAAUACAAUAUAUAAAUAAUAUCAGUUAAAGUGUCGAGUACAUCAUCAAAUACAUACAAAAAUGAAAUAUAAAUACAUCAUCAAAUAUAACUACUGAGUAUGUCGGGCGUCCUCCUGCGUACCAUCCUACGCAUCCCCUCCGAGUCCACCAAGGGCUCUGUUGGCUCUACCCUAGCAUCAAGUGUCUCACGGGUCCUGGCACGAUGUUGACGGUACAGAAUUGCACUCUCUGCCAUCCUGAUCAUAUCAUCCAGCACACGCCUAGAAGCAGUCCCCUUAGAGAAUAAACCCUCUGCAAUGGCUCCGAUGCCCCUGUUAGCUAUUUAACAACACAGAGGAAGAAGAUCUUGAGUGUGGUCCAACUGAGCCUGAUGCGCAUAGAGAAUCUACUCGUGGGCUGGGCUGGGAGGACCCCUCUUUGCAGCUGAAAGCAUGUAUGGAUGUGAGACUCUAUAGUACCAUGUGAUGUACCCCUCGACACAGCUCCAGUCGUGCUCUGCUAGCGUCGCCCGUGCCUCCUCAGGGACCAUGUGAUGCUCCCAGUCUGCAAAGACCUCAUCUAACUGCCUGCGA